GAUGAAGAACGUAGCGAAAUGCGAUAAGUAAUGUGAAUUGCAGAAUUCAGUGAAUCAUCGAAUCUUUGAACGCAUCUUGCGCUCCUUGGUAUUCUGAGGAGCAUGCCUGUUUGAGUGUCAUUAAAUUCUCAACUACACUGACUUUGAAUUGGUGUGGCUUGGAUUUGGGGGGAAAAUUGUUGUGGGCUUUUUGUAUAGUCUGCUCCCCUGAAAUUGAUUAGCGGUACCUUUGUGGAACUGUCUACAGGUGUGAUAAUUAUCUACAUCUUAGACAUCUGCUGGAAUGCUGCGUUCUAAACCUUACUUGUAUUGACAAUCUUGACCUCAAAUCAGGUAGGACUACCCGCUGAACUUAAGCAUAUCAAUAAGCGGAGGA
This 376-nucleotide unclassified non-coding RNA is filed under the name soil metagenome. RNAcentral describes it as "partial contains 5.8S ribosomal RNA, internal transcribed spacer 2, and large subunit ribosomal RNA". The stretch from base 1 to 120 matches the Rfam family "5.8S ribosomal RNA", at positions 35 to 154 of the family's 154-position model. The record is from RNAcentral.